Molecule: ribosomal RNA, 700 nt
Filed under: uncultured beta proteobacterium
Lineage: Bacteria; Pseudomonadati; Pseudomonadota; Betaproteobacteria
Description: bacterial SSU rRNA
Rfam family: Bacterial small subunit ribosomal RNA
Source: RNAcentral
ACCCCUUGAGAGUGGCGAACGGGUGAGUAAUAUAUCGGAACGUGCCCAGUCGUGGGGGAUAACGUAGUGAAAAUUACGCUAAUACCGCAUACGAUCUAAGGAUGAAAGCGGGGGAUCGCAAGACCUCGCGCGAUUGGAGCGGCCGAUAUCAGAUUAGGUAGUUGGUAGGGUAAAGGCCUACCAAGCCAACGAUCUGUAGCUGGUCUGAGAGGACGACCAGCCACACUGGAACUGAGACACGGUCCAGACUCCUACGGGAGGCAGCAGUGGGGAAUUUUGGACAAUGGGCGAAAGCCUGAUCCAGCCAUUCCGCGUGCAGGAUGAAGGCCCUCGGGUUGUAAACUGCUUUUGUACAGAACGAAAAGGUCUCUAUUAAUACUAGGGGCUCAUGACGGUACUGUAAGAAUAAGCACCGGCUAACUACGUGCCAGCAGCCGCGGUAAUACGUAGGGUGCAAGCGUUAAUCGGAAUUACUGGGCGUAAAGCGUGCGCAGGCGGUUAUAUAAGUCAGAUGUGAAAUCCCCGGGCUCAACCUGGGAACUGCAUUUGAGACUGUAUAGCUAGAGUACGGUAGAGGGGGAUGGAAUUCCGCGUGUAGCAGUGAAAUGCGUAGAUAUGCGGAGGAACACCGAUGGCGAAGGCAAUCCCCUGGACCUGUACUGACGCUCAUGCACGAAAGCGUGGGGAGCAAACAGGAUUA